UAGAGUUUGAUCCUGGCUCAGGAUGAACGCUGGCGGCGUGCCUAAUACAUGCAAGUCGAGCGGAAAGGGGACUUCGGUGGUACUCGAGCGGCGGACGGCUGAGUAACGCGUAGGAACGUACCCCAAACUGAGGGAUAACUGCUCGAAAGAGUAGCUAAUACCGCAUGUGCUCUACGGAGUAAAGCUUCGGCGGUUUGGGAACGGCCUGCGUAUGAUUAGCUUGUUGGUGAGGUAAUGGCUCACCAAGGCGACGAUCAUUAGCUGGUCUGAGAGGGUGAUCAGCCAGACUGGGACUGAGACACGGCCCAGACUCCUACGGGAGGCAGCAGUAGGGAAUUUUCCACAAUGGGCGAAAGCCUGAUGGAGCAACGCCGCGUGCAGGAUGAAUGCCUUAGGGUUGUAAACUGCUUUUAUGAGUGAAGAUUAUGACGGUAGCUCAUGAAUAAGGAUCGGCUAACUCCGUGCCAGCAGCCGCGGUCAUACGGAGGAUCCAAGCGUUAUCCGGAAUUACUGGGCGUAAAGAGUUGCGUAGGCGGCAUAGCAAGUAGGUAGUAAAAUCCUGGGGCUCAACCCUUUAAAUAUUAUCUAAACUGCUAAGCUAGAAUAUGAGAGAGGUCGCUGGAAUUCCUAGUGUAGGAGUGAAAUCCGUAGAUAUUAGGAGGAACACCGAUGGCGUAGGCAGGCGACUGGCUCAUUAUUGACGCUAAGGCACGAAAGCGUGGGUAGCAAACGGGAUUAGAUACCCCGGUAGUCCACGCCGUAAACUAUGGAUGCUAGCUGUUACCAGUAUCGACCCUGGUAGUAGCGAAGCUAACGCGUUAAGCAUCCCGCCUGUGGAGUACGAGCGCAAGCUUA
This 855-nucleotide ribosomal RNA is filed under the name uncultured bacterium. Its description in RNAcentral is "bacterial SSU rRNA". It matches the Rfam family "Bacterial small subunit ribosomal RNA", at positions 1 to 896 of the family's 1533-position model. The record is from RNAcentral.